GACGAACGCUGGCGGCGUGCUUAACACAUGCAAGUCGAACGGUGACGGCCAGCUUGCUGGUCUGAUCAGUGGCGAACGGGUGAGUAACACGUGAGCAACCUGCCCUUCACUCUGGGAUAAGCCUUGGAAACGAGGUCUAAUACCGGAUACGACACUCCCGGGCAUCCGGAGGGUGUGGAAAGUUUUUCGGUGAGGGAUGGGCUCGCGGCCUAUCAGCUUGUUGGUGGGGUAAUGGCCUACCAAGGCGACGACGGGUAGCCGGCCUGAGAGGGCGACCGGCCACACUGGGACUGAGACACGGCCCAGACUCCUACGGGAGGCAGCAGUGGGGAAUAUUGCACAAUGGGCGAAAGCCUGAUGCAGCGACGCCGCGUGAGGGAUGACGGCCUUCGGGUUGUAAACCUCUUUCAGCAGGGAAGAAGCGAAAGUGACGGUACCUGCAGAAGAAGCGCCGGCUAACUACGUGCCAGCAGCCGCAGUAAAAC
Molecule: ribosomal RNA, 485 nt
Filed under: uncultured bacterium
Lineage: Bacteria
Description: bacterial SSU rRNA
Rfam family: Bacterial small subunit ribosomal RNA
Source: RNAcentral